Molecule: ribosomal RNA, 509 nt
Filed under: uncultured bacterium
Lineage: Bacteria
Description: bacterial SSU rRNA
Rfam family: Bacterial small subunit ribosomal RNA
Source: RNAcentral
GAUGAACGCUAGCGGGAGGCCUAAUACAUGCAAGUCGAACGGGUGAAUUAGCUUCGGUUGGUUCACUAGUGGCGCACGGGUGAGUAACGCGUACGCAAUCUGCCCUAUGCUGGGGAAUAGCCCUGGGAAACUGGGAGUAAUACGCCAUAGUUCUACGGAUCUGCAUGGAUUUGUAGAUAAAGCUGCGGCGGCAUAGGAUGAGCGUGCGUCUGAUUAGGUAGUUGGUGAGGUAACGGCUCACCAAGCCGACGAUCAGUAAGGGGCGUGAGAGCGUGGCCCCUCACACGGGUACUGAGACACGGACCCGACUCCUACGGGAGGCAGCAGUAAGGAAUCUUCCGCAAUGGACGAAAGUCUGACGGAGCAACGCCGCGUGAGUGAUGAAGGUUUUCGGAUCGUAAAACUCUGUUGUUAGGGAAGAACAAGUGCCGUUCGAAAGGGCGGCACCUUGACGGUACCUAACGAGAAAGCCACGGCUAACUACGUGCCAGCAGCCGCGGUAAAGUACG